ACACUCAUGUUUCUCUUCAUAUUGUAUAGAUCUUUCGCCUUUUACUAAAGAUUUUUGUGGACAGGAACACAAUGAGUAUAAACUACUUUUUUGAUGUCUUGCUUGAUUGUGAGGUU
Molecule: small nuclear RNA, 116 nt
Organism: Sinocyclocheilus anshuiensis
Lineage: Eukaryota; Metazoa; Chordata; Actinopteri; Cypriniformes; Cyprinidae
Gene: U5
Rfam family: U5 spliceosomal RNA
About the family: U5 RNA is a component of both types of known spliceosome.
Source: Ensembl